Meleagris gallopavo (turkey) is the source of this 276-nucleotide non-coding RNA. The record is from RefSeq and is a predicted model, not a curated record. Lineage: Eukaryota; Metazoa; Chordata; Aves; Galliformes; Phasianidae.
GGAGGGGACGGGAGGGGAGCAGGGAGCUGGCAGGCAGCCAGCUACCAUCAGAAUUAGCUCAUUGUUCAAUAUAACCAGCUCUGGCAACCAAAUCCCAGCCCGAGAGAGAGGGAGACUUUCCCCCAGCCACCCCCCCACCCCUUUUUCUCCACGACUGCACUUUGGAAGAGAUCAUGUAGAAAGGACAGAAAGUGAACAGGGAGCGGGGGCUUUUGUCUAUCCUUGUGCUACCUGAGAGAAACUGCAAUCCUAAGACUUAACAGAAUCUAAAAAAUG